CCCACACCAAGAGCCGCGACGGAUUUAAACGAGGGCAGAAUCCACAGAAGCGGCGCUAGUGCUACCGCUGCCUUUUUGGGUAAUUGAUCUGCCCCCUCACCGUGCUUGCUAUAAAUAUAACUAUAUAAUUGUUCUGCCUGGCGUGUGGCUGCAUCCACGCAGUUCUUCAGAUGCUGUUGACGACUGAAAUACAAGGAGAGAGCGCCUUGGGAACCCGCAUGGCAACGUAGGCCCCUGCUCAUGUCAUGGUGGUGGGUGCUGUCCCCGCGGCAAUUCACAGGAUUGAGAGCGGCAUUACAAAACCAAAUUCCGAUUCUUUUUCAAUUUCAUGGUUUGGUUCUAUCCUCAAUCUGAAAAGAGGGGAAGAUAGGAGAAACUUGGAACAACCGAGAGGAGAAAUAUAAAACCAAGAAAAAUGAUAACCGUGUGGUUUGUCUGCUUGCCUGUCGUAUCAUUUCCAUUUCAAUUAAUCAAUCGAAGCUAUAGUUUAUUGGCAAAAAAAAAAAGAAAAAAAAAGAAAAAAAAAGGGGGGGAAACGAGAAAAAAACGAGUCCAGUCUCCCGAAGACGAAAAUGUAAUAUAAUUGUUACAAGAAUGAUUUGCUGUGUUUGUUGGGAUUUGGAGAGGAACCGACAUGAAAUCCGUAUGAGGGCAAACAAAAAAAGAGAGGAGCUGAUAGGAGGAAAAAAACAACCAAUAAACAAAGCUAAAAAGGAAAAAUGAUCACGUAUCAAAACCUUUUUUUUGGGAGGGGGCCAGGGGUCAUUCGCAAAAAUAAUAGACCCUGUUGCAAGACAAUCAAUAACGAGACAAAAGGAAAAGAAUCAUCAUUAGGGAACAAAACGAAGGAGUAAGCUCCCAUGUACGAAGGAGAGCACACGUGGAGGGCGGAAGGACCUAGCCCCAG
This 907-nucleotide small RNA is filed under the name Histoplasma capsulatum. RNAcentral describes it as "hypothetical RNA". The record is from RNAcentral. RNAcentral also lists the same sequence under 1 other name. Lineage: Eukaryota; Fungi; Ascomycota; Eurotiomycetes; Onygenales; Ajellomycetaceae.